CCCGAAGGAAAAGAAAUCAAUUGAGAUUCCGGCAGUAGCGGCGAGCGACCCCGGAUUAGCCCUUAAGCAGUUUACGUGUUAGUGGAAGCCUCUGGAAAGUGGCGCGAUACAGGGUGAUAGCCCCGUACACGACAAUGCUUUUAUUGUGAAAACGAGUAGGACGGGACACGUGGUAUCCUGUCUGAACAUGGGGGGACCAUCCUCCAAGGCUAAAUACUCCUGACUGACCGAUAGUGAACCAGUACCGUGAGGGAAAGGCGAAAAGAACCCC
This 271-nucleotide ribosomal RNA is filed under the name Enterovibrio norvegicus FF-162. RNAcentral describes it as "partial 23S ribosomal RNA". It matches the Rfam family "Bacterial large subunit ribosomal RNA", at positions 209 to 527 of the family's 2925-position model. The record is from RNAcentral. Lineage: Bacteria; Pseudomonadati; Pseudomonadota; Gammaproteobacteria; Vibrionales; Vibrionaceae.